UUCUUAUAGUCUUUUUGACUAAGGCAUCAAAUGCUCUUUGGCUAACACCAAACUGGUGUUAGUAUAACUCUGUUUGUCUCUUUUCUUUAUUUGUGUAAGUUUUCGAUUCAAUCUAAGGCAGAAAUUUUCUCCCACAAUCCAUUUUCAAGGUUGGCCUAUUUGUGGCUGGGACUGAGACGCUGCCUAGACUCCUAUGAGGGGCAGCAGUGGGGAAUUUUCCACAAUGGGUUAAAGCAUAACAAAGCGUGGAGGUAGAAGGCCUACGGGUCGUGAACUUCUUUUCUAGGAAAAUAAGCAAUGACGAUAUAUGGGGAAUAAGUAUCGGCUAACUCUGAGCCAGCACCGGUGGUAAUACAGAAGAUGCAAGCGUUAUCAGGAAUGAUUAGGUGUAAAGCUUAUGUAGGUGGCUUUUUAAGUUCGCCGUCUAAUUUGAGGCUCAACUCUGGACAAACGGUGGAAACUACCAAGCUAGAGUUCAGUAGGGGCAAAAGGAAUUUUUCGGUGGAAUGGUGAAAUGUGUAGAGAUUGGAAAGAACACCAAUGGCGAAAGCACUCUAAUGGGCUGACACUGACAUUGAUAGACAAAAGCUACAGGAGCAAAUGAGAUUCGAUACCCAAGGUUUAAGAUGAAAGGGAAAUAAGAUCUUGAUCUGAAUGUCGUCUGUUAACCGACUUU
This 676-nucleotide ribosomal RNA is filed under the name Malus domestica (apple). RNAcentral's name for it is "rRNA MD05G0218000". It matches the Rfam family "Bacterial small subunit ribosomal RNA", at positions 161 to 843 of the family's 1533-position model. The record is from RNAcentral. Lineage: Eukaryota; Viridiplantae; Streptophyta; Magnoliopsida; Rosales; Rosaceae.